UACAGGCUUAACACAUGCAAGUCGAGGGGAAACGACAUCGAAAGCUUGCUUUUGAUGGGCGUCGACCGGCGCACGGGUGAGUAACGCGUAUCCAACCUGCCCACCACUUGGGGAUAACCUUGCGAAAGUAAGACUAAUACCCAAUGAUAUCUCUAGAAGACAUCUGAAAGAGAUUAAAGAUUUAUCGGUGAUGGAUGGGGAUGCGUCUGAUUAGCUUGUUGGCGGGGUAACGGCCCACCAAGGCUACGAUCAGUAGGGGUUCUGAGAGGAAGGUCCCCCACAUUGGAACUGAGACACGGUCCAAACUCCUACGGGAGGCAGCAGUGAGGAAUAUUGGUCAAUGGACGAGAGUCUGAACCAGCCAAGUAGCGUGCAGGAUGACGGCCCUAUGGGUUGUAAACUGCUUUUAUAAGGGAAUAAAGUGAGUCUCGUGAGACUUUUUGCAUGUACCUUAUGAAUAAGGACCGGCUAAUUCCGUGCCAGCAGCCGCGGUAAUACGGAAGGUCCGGGCGUUAUCCGGAUUUAUUGGGUUUAAAGGGAGCGUAGGCCGGAGAUUAAGCGUGUUGUGAAAUGUAGACGCUCAACGUCUGCACUGCAGCGCGAACUGGUUUCCUUGAGUACGCACAAAGUGGGCGGAAUUCGUGGUGUAGCGGUGAAAUGCUUAGAUAUCACGAAGAACUCCGAUUGCGAAGGCAGCUCACUGGAGCGCAACUGACGCUGAAGCUCGAAAGUGCGGGUAUCGAACAGGAUUAGAUACCCUGGUAGUCCGCACGGUAAACGAUGGAUGCCCGCUGUUGGUCUGAAUAGGUCAGCGGCCAAGCGAAAGCAUUAAGCAUCCCACCUGGGGAGUACGCCGGCAACGGUGCAACUCAAAUGAAUUGACGGA
Molecule: ribosomal RNA, 886 nt
Filed under: uncultured organism
Description: bacterial SSU rRNA
Rfam family: Bacterial small subunit ribosomal RNA
Source: RNAcentral